RNAcentral lists this unclassified non-coding RNA (344 nucleotides) under soil metagenome. Its description in RNAcentral is "partial contains 5.8S ribosomal RNA, internal transcribed spacer 2, and large subunit ribosomal RNA". The stretch from base 1 to 120 matches the Rfam family "5.8S ribosomal RNA", at positions 35 to 154 of the family's 154-position model. The record is from RNAcentral.
GAUGAAGAACGUAGCGAAAUGCGAUAAGUAAUGUGAAUUGCAGAAUUCAGUGAAUCAUCGAAUCUUUGAACGCACAUUGCGCCCGCCAGUAUUCUGGCGGGCAUGCCUGUUCGAGCGUCAUUUCAACCCUCAAGCCCCCGGGCUUGGUGUUGGGGAUCGGCGUGCCCUCGCGGCGCGCCGUCCCCUAAAUCUAGUGGCGGUCUCGCUGUAGCUUCCUCUGCGUAGUAGCAACACUCGCACUGGAUCGCAGCGCGGCCACGCCGUUAAACCCCCCACUUCUGAAAGUUUGACCUCGGAUCAGGUAGGAAUACCCGCUGAACUUAAGCAUAUCAAUAAACGGAGGA